UUCUCAUUGCACCGCUUCCCACACCCUCAGCCCCGUUGCUCAGCCCUGAUCACAUUGGAUGUUGGUGAUUUGCUUGUCAUCCCCCUGUGCUGUGAUCUCGAGGGCAGUGUCUCCAUCUUGGUGUCUGACAUGUAGCACUGGGUCAAGACAGGACAAGGUGGGGGAGAUCGAGAUGCUACACGGUGAGGCAAUGGGCUUUUCCCACUCUGGACUGUCAGUGGGGAGACCGUACCUGCUCAAGGCUGAGGCAUCCUGCUCUCCUUGGAAGUGUGUCUCUUGUCCUGGCCACGGGCUGGGCCUGUGGUCCACUGGGGGUAACAUUCCCUCUGCUCUUAGGUUAAGGAGCAAGGAAGGGAGUAGUACCCCAGCUGGGCAGGACGUCGUCGUGGAGAAUGCGUGGAUCUGCAUGUCCAGAGGCUCCAUGAGAGGUGUCUUACAGCCAGGCGCGAGGCCACAAAUGCCCCGAGGUAAGGUUUUGGAGCCUUCUCUGGAAUUGUGUCUUUUUGCAUCCGUAAAGUCACACACGUGUGCCCUGGGGUCUGGAUGA
Molecule: long non-coding RNA, 547 nt
Filed under: Felis catus (domestic cat)
Lineage: Eukaryota; Metazoa; Chordata; Mammalia; Carnivora; Felidae
Description: lncRNA (ENSFCAG00000049660.1)
Source: RNAcentral